RNAcentral lists this ribosomal RNA (311 nucleotides) under uncultured marine eukaryote. Its description in RNAcentral is "SSU rRNA". It matches the Rfam family "Eukaryotic small subunit ribosomal RNA", at positions 613 to 930 of the family's 1831-position model. The record is from RNAcentral.
UUGCGGUUAAAAAGCUCGUAGUUGGAUUUCUGCUGAGGACGAUCGGUCCGCCCUCUGGGUGAGCUUGACUCGGCCUUGGCAUCUUUCUGGAGAACGCUACUGCUCUUGACUGUGUGGUGCGGUAUCCAGGACUUUUACUUUGAGGAAAUUAGAGUGUUUCAAGCAGGCGCACGCCUUGAAUACAUUAGCAUGGAAUAAUAAGAUAGGACCUUGGUUCUAUUUUGUUGGUUUCUAGAGCUGAGGUAAUGAUUAAUAGGGAUAGUUGGGGGCAUUCGUAUUUAACUGUCAGAGGUGAAAUUCUUGGAUUUGUU